CAUACCUGCUGAGCAGCCCGGGCUGCCUGCUCCUCGUAGAUAUCCAGGUUUUUCUGCAUAUGCUGCAGGGCUUCAGGGCGGGACAGGGGGACACGAGGGUCCGGGUUCAAGAUUACGUUGUGCUC
Molecule: long non-coding RNA, 125 nt
Organism: Epinephelus fuscoguttatus (brown-marbled grouper)
Lineage: Eukaryota; Metazoa; Chordata; Actinopteri; Perciformes; Serranidae
Exons: 2
Source: RefSeq, a predicted model, not a curated record